AUCUCUAGUUGUUUACUGAAAAGGAAAAUACUUCACGGAAUUCCUGAGCUCAUUAGCUGAACAUGAUUUCAGUGAUCACAAUUUUAUUAUGCUUUACAACCAACUUCAGAUCAACAGAAUUCAACAUUCAGAAGAUUCAACAGUAUCCACUCAAAGUACAAUAAUAAUAAUUAGUGCCAAUUUGACAACCAAGUGCAGGUAUUUUAUUAAAAGAAUAAAAGAAAUGUUUAUCAAAGAAAACAAGAAGCAAAGGCUAUUUUCAGAAGGAUCCUCAAAGAUGACUUUUGGUAAAUAUAUAAAGUGUAUAGAUUAAGAAGCAAGAAAUAUAAAACUGAAUUUGAU
Molecule: long non-coding RNA, 342 nt
Organism: Maniola jurtina (meadow brown)
Lineage: Eukaryota; Metazoa; Arthropoda; Insecta; Lepidoptera; Nymphalidae
Exons: 3
Source: RefSeq, a predicted model, not a curated record